RNAcentral lists this unclassified non-coding RNA (4140 nucleotides) under Leishmania donovani. RNAcentral describes it as "gene:LdHU3.11.0750(CDS-product:misc_RNAion_modula tor/accessory_protein_putative)". Lineage: Eukaryota; Euglenozoa; Kinetoplastea; Trypanosomatida; Trypanosomatidae. The record is from RNAcentral.
CAUUUUCGGCCCCACCCGCACUUCUCUCGGCUCUGGCGCGUUGAGUCGUGCAUUGAAAACUGCAAAAGACUCAGACGGUGGUGAGGGGACCGACAUGGUAGCCAGCGCCAACAUUGGGGGGACGCCGAAGCGGAUCAGGAAGGCGUCAGCGGCGCUCAGGGCGCCAACCGCAACGGGGAAGAGGAAAUACACUCGAAGGGCCACUGCUGCUGCACCUAAGGCAGUGGCUGACACCGUUGACAGCGCCACCGUGGGCGCAUCUGCAUCGACCUCCUCCGCCUCCGGGACUGAGGCGAAGCAUCGCCCAUCGACGCACCAGGGUGGCGACAGUGCCUCGGGCACGGAUGCUCAUGGCACCCGAGACGAGGAGGAGGAGGUGUACAGUGGGCAGUAUGAGUUGUCGCCCGAGGAGACGUACCGGCAAACAAGUGAGCGCCUGCUACUCCCCCUGAACGCCGUCCGAUUUGUGCUGACACAGGCGAAGGAGGGCGCCACGAUCCCCUUCCUUGCGCGGUACCGGCAGGGCGAGACCGGCCGAAUGGACGAGACGCAGUUGCGCCUUGUCAUGGAUACCGCCAAGGAGGUGGCUGAGGUGCACCGCCGCCGCCAGUUCAUGCUGCGAAGUCUGGAAAGUCGAGGCUUGCUGACGCCGGCGCUCCAGACGGCUCUCGAGUCCAUGGUGCACGUCAGCCAGCUCGAGGAUGCUUGGGAGCCGUACAAGGAGCGUCGAACAAGCCUUGCCUCGCGCGGACGCGCUGCCGGGCUAGGGCCGUACGCCGACGCCCUCCUCCACUUCAAUCCCGAAGACCCCGAUUGCAAGGCGCGCCUCGACGAGCUGAGCGCGUUUGUGCGUCGCACUGACGAGGGGGAGCGGUUGCUGACCGCCAUUGUCGCCGAAGACGUGCAGCGAAGCGAAGAGCUGCGGCGCCGACUUGGCGAGUACUGCCGUCACACGGCGCGCCUGUCGUCCACGCUGAUGGCGAAGCCACGCAAGAAGGCCGCGAAGGAGCUGCAUGAGGAGAGCUUCGAAGCGCUGCGCAAGCACUUCGCCUACUACGACAACAAGUCAUGGUCAGUCCAGCGCGUCGCGGCGCACGUUGUGCUGGCGCUGCAGCGCGGCGAGGCCAAGGGCGCGCUAAAGGUGGACACGAUAUCAGGCCCGAAGAGCCACGGGUUGUUCAUGCACACCGUUCGCGAGCAGUACCCCUCCCUGAAUCGGCUGCUAUCGUCGUCAUCGCCUUCCAUGCCCACCGCGGACAGCGCUGGUGCCUACUCCCACGUCUUUCGUGAUUUCGGCUAUGAACGGAAGAUUGUGCAUGCUGGCUUGCAGGCAGCGUACGACCACCUCGUUAAGCAGGCGCACUUUGCGAUUCGGCGAGACUUGAAGAAGAGCGCGGAGCAGGAGGCCAUCGUCGUGUUUGCGCACAACCUGCAGCACAUGCUUCUCCAGCGACCUCUCUCCCGCUCGCGCAUCUUGGCGAUGGAUCCUGGCUUGGCGAACGGCGUGAAGUGCGUGGCGCUGGACGAGAACGGCGCAGUUGAAACUUUCUUCACCUGCACACUCAUGGACGAGCAGAAGAUGCGGCGCUACGUCAUUCAGGUGGUCGAGUCGAGGAAUUUGAACAAGGUCGUGAUUGGCAACGGCACGGCAUCUGGCCGCGUGACGGACUUGAUUGCAGACCUCAUCAAGCAGCAGAAGUGGACAGAUGUGGAGUUCGCCGUCGUGAGCGAGGCGGGCGCGAGUGUGUACUCAGUGUCUGAUAUUGCGAAGGAGGAGUUUCCCAACCUUGACGUCAUGUACCGUGGCGCGGUGAGCAUCGGCCGUCGCGUGCUGGACCCGUUGAGCGAGCUGGUAAAGAUACCAGUGCGCAGCAUGGGCAUUGGAAUGUACCAGCAUGACGUGAACGAGAAGGAGCUGAUGCGGGAGUUGAGCUACGUGCUGGAGUCCUGCGUUGCCAAGGUCGGAGUCAACGCGGCCAGCGCAAACCGCUACGUCAUGGAGAAGGUUCCUGGCAUUAAGAAGAGAAUUGUGGACCAGAUUGUGCUGGCGCGCCAUGCGAAGAAGCUGCAUAGCCGCGAAGACUUGCGGCGGGUGCCGGCCAUGACGGAGAGCGUCUACGAGCAAAUCGCAGGCUUCUUCCGCUUCCCUAACUCGCCAGAGCCACUCGACAACACGAGUAUCCACCCCGAGUCUUACCCGCUGGUGCGGCGUCUUGUGACGCUGUACACGGCGGGCCAGCUGGGGGACGGCGAAGCGAUGGCCGAGAAGCCGGGGGACGCGGCAGAUGGUGCGGCGACGGCACUCGGUAACGCACGCAUCCGCCAGCAGGUCGCCCAGCAGCUGGAGCGCAUGUCUCCCGCUCAACUUUCGAGCUUGGCCUCUGAGAAGCUGUCUUGCAGCGUAGAGACGCUGGAGCUGUUACGCCAAGAGCUGCUUCACCCGGGCUUGGACCCGCGCGCUUCGCUGCCGCAUGCCGGACUAAUGCGCCGCGACGUGUACGACGUGAAGAAUCUCCGUUCCGGCGAACUGCUCUCCGGUGUCGUGCAGAGCGUCACAAUGUUUGGUGCGUUCGUUGACUGCGGUCUGCACGACGCUGUGCUCUUGCGCGGUGAAGGCGUGGAUGCGCUGCAGGUGGGCAUGUACCUGGACCAGUGCAUCCGCUUUGACUGCCUCGACCACUUGCAGCGUCCGCGGGUGCUCUUGGUGCGCGCUGCUGCUCCUGCCGCCUCUGGCGACAGCGCAGAUGGCGGGAAAGGAUGUGCGCUGUCGGCCGCGCCUCGACGGCUUCGGCUGGAGGCCGAGGACGUUCUCGGCAGAAACGGGCGAGGCUUCGUCAGCCAAGCUUCACCCGACGUGCAGAUCUACGGCUCAGUGGCGAGCAGUGCGGAGGGGGAUGUGACAGCAGCGGCGCCAACGCUGACCGCGCGGGUGAUGCGGGAGCGCAAACGCCGCGCCGCGGAGGCGCUCGGUAGCGCUAACGGCACCGCGGCGACCGGUGCGAUGAGGGCAGAGGAGAGCAGCCAGGCGAACCGGACAUCUCGGCAGCACCUAUUCCACUCUCCGGCGGGGAAGCGAGCCCGGGAGAAGCCAGAGACGGAUGCCCUCUUUCGCCGCGCGCCGCGGCGUGUGGAGGAUGUCGUCGUUGCUUCUGCUGCCGCUCGUCCAAAUUCGACCCUGUCCUUGCAGUCGCCGAAGUGUCCCACCAUAAACGGCGCCUCCACGGAACCGCCUGCAAGCGCUUCGCAGACGUCGAAGCCGACUGCUCGGAGAGUAGACACGGGGGAUGCCAGUGACCAGCUUGGUGCCGGCGGUGACGGCGGCGACACGGUCUUCUUAUUUUGAGAUGCGUUGCGCGGUGUCGUUCAGGGCUGCUUCCGGGUUGUGCUGGAGGCGCUACGCCUUCUCUGUGCUGUAUUCUUUCGCUUUUCCUUCCUGGGUGUGCCAUUACCUUUGACUGGUGGUGUGCUUGAGAGCGAGUGAGCCCGUUGCUGUGUGCGUGUGUGUGUGUACGCUGCGUCCAACACAGAGCAGCGCUUGAUGCGAUUUCUGCCGUUCGAGGGCGAGGCAAAGAGGGAAGGGGAAGAGAGCGUGUGCGUGCACAUGCAUGAGGUGGGAAGGUCCGAUAGCUGCGCUAAUCAGCUCUCUGUCUCGCUCGGUUCAGCCUCGGUGCCGCUUCCUCUUUUCUCUUUGCGGUGCCUCUCGUGACGCGUCUCUGCAGCACUGAGCGGCGAGAUAUCGACGAGCCAGCAAGAGGGAAGGAGGGCGGCUCGAGUAAAGGAUCGACAUACACGUGUUGGUCUGCGAGGUACUCGACGUCCAAGCGGAAAAGAAAAAGGGCCACACGCCACACACAGACGCACACAGACACACAUGCGUGCAGGGGAGCACUUUCAGCUGUGCUCAUAGCAUGCGUGCACGCGUGCCGUUUCUUUUUUUUUUUGUUUUGUUUCUUCGGGUGACCUUUGCCCAUUCCACUUUUGGUCAUGGGAAAGGCAAAGUGGGGAGAGGAACAGACCCGUGCAUGUGCGCAUGCGUUCUCUCUCUCCAUCUACUCCCCCUCCCCCCUCUCCGUCCUUCCCGCUUGCCUCGGCGCAGCGCUGACCCACUCCCUGGCGUGUGUGAUCAUCCAGUGACAUAAC